CUUGGGGGUGGGGAGACCCUCAGCCUGGAUUGCGAGAGGGUGCAGGCCAGUCUGAGGGACCCCACUGGUGCAUG
This 74-nucleotide microRNA precursor is filed under the name Myotis davidii. Its description in RNAcentral is "mir-9193 microRNA precursor family". It matches the Rfam family "mir-9193 microRNA precursor family". Lineage: Eukaryota; Metazoa; Chordata; Mammalia; Chiroptera; Vespertilionidae. The record is from Rfam by way of RNAcentral.